RNAcentral lists this transfer RNA (66 nucleotides) under Bolivaritettix sikkinensis. Its description in RNAcentral is "tRNA-Met". The record is from RNAcentral. Lineage: Eukaryota; Metazoa; Arthropoda; Insecta; Orthoptera; Tetrigidae.
AAAGAUAAGCUAAUUAAGCUAUUGGGUUCAUACCCCGCCUAUGAAGAUUACCUUCUUCUCUUUUAA